CAGCCGCCGCGGUAAUACGAAGGGGGCUAGCGUUGCUCGGAAUUACUGGGCGUAAAGGGAGCGUAGGCGGAUCGUUAAGUUGGGGGUGAAAGCCCGGGGCUCAACCUCGGAAUUGCCUUCAAUACUGGCGAUCUUGAGUAUGGAAGAGGUAUGUGGAACUCCGAGUGUAGAGGUGAAAUUCGUAGAUAUUCGGAAGAACACCAGUGGCGAAGGCGACAUACUGGUCCAUUACUGACGCUGAGGCUCGAAAGCGUGGGGAGCAAACAGGAUUAGAUACCGUGUAGUCCCUGUCUCUUAUACC
RNAcentral lists this ribosomal RNA (301 nucleotides) under uncultured bacterium. RNAcentral's name for it is "partial 16S ribosomal RNA". It matches the Rfam family "Bacterial small subunit ribosomal RNA", at positions 509 to 808 of the family's 1533-position model. The record is from RNAcentral.